Molecule: ribosomal RNA, 444 nt
Filed under: uncultured fungus
Lineage: Eukaryota; Fungi
Description: SSU rRNA
Rfam family: Eukaryotic small subunit ribosomal RNA
Source: RNAcentral
GGGAUCCGAUUUUAGCAUGGAAUAAUAAAAUAGGACGUGUGGUUCUAUUUUGUUGGUUUCUAGGACCGCCGUAAUGAUUAAUAGGGACAGUCGGGGGCAUCAGUAUUCAAUUGUCAGAGGUGAAAUUCUUGGAUCUAUUGAAGACUAACUACUGCGAAAGCAUUUGCCAAGGAUGUUUUCAUUGAUAAGAAACGAAAGUUAGGGGAUCGAAGACGAUCAGAUACCGUCGUAGUCUUAACUAUAAACUAUGCCGACUAGGGAUCGGACGAUGUUAUCUUUUGACGCGUUCGGCACCUUUCGAGAAAUCAAAGUGCUUGGGCUCCAGGGGGAGUAUGGUCGCAAGGCUGAAACUUAAAGAAAUUGACGGAAGGGCACCACCAGGGGUGGAACCUGCGGCUUAAUUUGACUCAACACGGGGAAACUCACCAGGUCCAGAAAUCUAGA